This 140-nucleotide small nucleolar RNA is filed under the name Dasypus novemcinctus (nine-banded armadillo). RNAcentral's name for it is "Small nucleolar RNA SNORA67 (ENSDNOG00000048620.1)". It matches the Rfam family "Small nucleolar RNA SNORA67". Rfam says of the family: U67 belongs to the H/ACA class of snoRNAs which are thought to guide the sites of modification of uridines to pseudouridines. The record is from RNAcentral. Lineage: Eukaryota; Metazoa; Chordata; Mammalia; Cingulata; Dasypodidae.
GUCCAAGGUGAUUCCCUCUCCAAGGGGCCACCUAGUGCCCUCUCAGGUAAGUAGCAACUUUGAAUAAAAUCUGGCAAGCCCAAGAUCUUCGGGAGAGAGGGGAUGUUUUCCCUUUUGCCUUCCUUUGGCUGCCUACAUAC